RNAcentral lists this ribosomal RNA (601 nucleotides) under Hypogymnia vittata. Its description in RNAcentral is "partial large subunit ribosomal RNA". It matches the Rfam family "Eukaryotic large subunit ribosomal RNA", at positions 286 to 905 of the family's 3401-position model. Lineage: Eukaryota; Fungi; Ascomycota; Lecanoromycetes; Lecanorales; Parmeliaceae. The record is from RNAcentral.
CUCAAAAUGGGUGGUAAAUUUCAUCUAAAGACUAAAUACUGGCUGGAGACCGAUAGCGCACAAGUAGAGUGAUCGAAAGAUGAAAAGCACUUUGGAAAGAGAGUCAAACAGUACGUGAAAUUGUUGAAAGGGAAGSGCUUGCAACCAGACCUGUCCGUAGGUGAUCAGCCGCUGUUMUCAGUGGUGCACUCGCUCUGCGAUCAGGCCAGCAUCGGUUCGGGCGGUCGGAUAAAGGCCUUGGGAAUGUAGCUUCCUUCGGGGAGUCUUAUAGCCCUCGGUGCAAUGCGGCCAGCCGGGACCGAGGACCGCGCUUCGGCUAGGAUGCUGGCGUAAUGGUUGUAAGCGACCCGUCUUGAAACACGGACCAAGGAGUCUAACAUCUAUGCGAGUGUUUGGGUGUCAAACCCAUGCGCGGAAUGAAAGUGAACGGAGGUGAGAACCCUUAAGGGCGCAUCAUCGACCGAUCCAGAUGUCUUCGGAUGGAUUUGAGUAUGAGCAUAGCUGUUGGGACCCGAAAGAUGGUGAACUAUGCCUGAAUAGGGUGAAGCCAGAGGAAACUCUGGUGGAGGCUCGCAGCGGUUCUGACGUGCAAAUCGAUCGU